AUGGCUAUGUCAAACCGUAGAUGUUCUUCAGGGUUCUUUCUGCCUGAAGGAAAUGGGGCGAGAUUUUUAUCCUUCUGCCCGCGUUUCAGGUCAAUGUUGGAUUUUGGCCCCUUGAUGCGCUCCGUCUGAAGCCCGAAAGAUGAACUAAAUCUUUUGACGGAUUGUCUAUGUGUGAAGAACAUGUUCCCCCACACCGAGAAUGGAGAUGCUGAAGACAAUAAUGGAAUAUCACAUUUCAUUUUCUGUUCGUUUCGUCCCAUAAAAGUGUUGUUCUUGUUGUGGUUCUACACUGUAGUAAAAGAUUCUUUCUGUUAAUUACCAACUUGGUGUCUGACUCGGAGAGCAACAAAAUCUCAGCCAUAGGCGAUAUUUAU
RNAcentral lists this small RNA (374 nucleotides) under Histoplasma capsulatum var. duboisii H88. RNAcentral describes it as "Histoplasma capsulatum H88 hypothetical RNA". Lineage: Eukaryota; Fungi; Ascomycota; Eurotiomycetes; Onygenales; Ajellomycetaceae. The record is from RNAcentral.